RNAcentral lists this microRNA (21 nucleotides) under Mus musculus (house mouse). RNAcentral's name for it is "mmu-miR-718". Its record names the gene mmu-miR-718. The record is from miRBase by way of RNAcentral. Lineage: Eukaryota; Metazoa; Chordata; Mammalia; Rodentia; Muridae.
CUUCCGCCCGGCCGGGUGUCG